GGGCUCGUGGCGGAACUGGCAGACGCGCCGGACUCAAAAUCCGGUUGGAAACAGUGUGGGUUCGAUUCCCACCGGGCCCACCA
RNAcentral lists this transfer RNA (83 nucleotides) under Rickettsiales bacterium. RNAcentral's name for it is "tRNA-Leu". It matches the Rfam family "tRNA". From Rfam's summary of the family: Transfer RNA (tRNA) molecules are approximately 80 nucleotides in length. Their secondary structure includes four short double-helical elements and three loops (D, anti-codon, and T loops). Lineage: Bacteria; Pseudomonadati; Pseudomonadota; Alphaproteobacteria; Rickettsiales. The record is from RNAcentral.